RNAcentral lists this ribosomal RNA (247 nucleotides) under uncultured Actinomycetales bacterium. RNAcentral describes it as "partial 16S ribosomal RNA". It matches the Rfam family "Bacterial small subunit ribosomal RNA", at positions 1138 to 1382 of the family's 1533-position model. The record is from RNAcentral. Lineage: Bacteria; Bacillati; Actinomycetota; Actinomycetes; Actinomycetales.
GUCAUACGAGACUGCCGGGGGUCGAACUCGGAGGAAGGUGGGGAUGACGUCAAGUCAUCAUGCCCCUUAUGCCUAGGGCUGCACGCAUGCUACAAUGGCUGGUACAAAGGGCUGCAAUACCGUGAGGUGGAGCGAAUCCCAAAAAGCCAGUCUCAGUCCGGAUUGGAGUCUGCAACUCGACUCCAUGAAGUUGGAAUCGCUAGUAAUCGCGGAUCAGCACGCCGCGGUGAAUACGUUCCCGGGCCUU